UCUCUCUCCUCUAUCCUUCCUUUAGGACAGAGGAAGGCCCAGCCGUGGCUCAGAGCUGAGUCACGCUGUGGCCACCUCUCCAGUAAAGCCUGAGGAAUGUCAAGUCACCGGAAGACCUCAGUCAUCAGGGAUUUCCGGUUCACCUCAGGCAACAGGAUGUCUUCUACAUUUCUUUACCCUGAACUCUUCAGAAAUUAAAUUUCAUUAAGUGAAAUCAUUCCUUUUCUAAAAUAAGAACUCACUCUGACUUGGACAAAGAAAACUUUUAUAUGUAAGGAGGCAACUGAACAGCUCAGCUUCAAGAUUCCACCCCACCCACAGGCUCAACUGUAGUAUGGUGCACAUGACUUCCAGCUCUCCUGGGUCCAGAAAUCUGUACGUGUUUCACCUCCCAAGCCUGCCUUGAGUGUCUUGAUUGUCCUUCAUUCCCGAGGCUUUCCUCGACGUCUGGUCUCCACUCUCCAUUUAAACAUAAUGUUUUGACUCUACUUGCUUCCCACAGCCUCGUCUGGGACCUGGGUAUCAAUCCCUCUUUGUUCUUCAGCUAAGGCUUUUUUCCCUUCCCCUCUCUCCCACUUGGUCUCAGCUCCUGCAACUUCAGCCCUGUCUACCACAUUCUUAGCAAAAGAGAUCAGUAACAAGAAGCAGACAAAAAAAGUCAAGAGUAAUAGAAAUUAUUUUUGUGUUUGAUUUCAGGAAAUCAAUCUCAUUGUUUCUUAUUCUUCCCUGAUGACAGUUAUGUAUGUGCUGGGUGAUUAGUAGGUUACCUCUUAAAGGUGUUGUCGUCUAUCCAGAUGAACUUCCU
Long non-coding RNA from Cavia porcellus (domestic guinea pig), 805 nucleotides. RefSeq lists it as uncharacterized. NCBI's taxonomy places the organism in Eukaryota, Metazoa, Chordata, Mammalia, Rodentia, Caviidae. The record is from RefSeq and is a predicted model, not a curated record. The transcript has 3 exons.